This 736-nucleotide ribosomal RNA is filed under the name Achromobacter sp. 111117_136_C_G12. Its description in RNAcentral is "bacterial SSU rRNA". It matches the Rfam family "Bacterial small subunit ribosomal RNA", at positions 16 to 747 of the family's 1533-position model. Lineage: Bacteria; Pseudomonadati; Pseudomonadota; Betaproteobacteria; Burkholderiales; Alcaligenaceae. The record is from RNAcentral.
AUUAUGGCUCAGAUUGAACGCUAGCGGGAUGCCUUACACAUGCAAGUCGAACGGCAGCACGGACUUCGGUCUGGUGGCGAGUGGCGAACGGGUGAGUAAUGUAUCGGAACGUGCCUAGUAGCGGGGGAUAACUACGCGAAAGCGUAGCUAAUACCGCAUACGCCCUACGGGGGAAAGCAGGGGAUCGCAAGACCUUGCACUAUUAGAGCGGCCGAUAUCGGAUUAGCUAGUUGGUGGGGUAACGGCUCACCAAGGCGACGAUCCGUAGCUGGUUUGAGAGGACGACCAGCCACACUGGGACUGAGACACGGCCCAGACUCCUACGGGAGGCAGCAGUGGGGAAUUUUGGACAAUGGGGGAAACCCUGAUCCAGCCAUCCCGCGUGUGCGAUGAAGGCCUUCGGGUUGUAAAGCACUUUUGGCAGGAAAGAAACGUCAUGGGCUAAUACCCCGUGAAACUGACGGUACCUGCAGAAUAAGCACCGGCUAACUACGUGCCAGCAGCCGCGGUAAUACGUAGGGUGCAAGCGUUAAUCGGAAUUACUGGGCGUAAAGCGUGCGCAGGCGGUUCGGAAAGAAAGAUGUGAAAUCCCAGAGCUUAACUUUGGAACUGCAUUUUUAACUACCGAGCUAGAGUGUGUCAGAGGGAGGUGGAAUUCCGCGUGUAGCAGUGAAAUGCGUAGAUAUGCGGAGGAACACCGAUGGCGAAGGCAGCCUCCUGGGAUAACACUGACGCU